This 401-nucleotide ribosomal RNA is filed under the name bacterium. RNAcentral describes it as "partial 16S ribosomal RNA". It matches the Rfam family "Bacterial small subunit ribosomal RNA", at positions 355 to 776 of the family's 1533-position model. The record is from RNAcentral.
UGGGGAAUUUUGCACAAUGGGGGAAACCCUGAUGCAGCGACGCCGCGUGAUUUAGAAGGCCUUCGGGUUGUAAAAAUCUUUUCUAUGGGAAGAAAAUGACAGUACCAUAGGAAUAAGGACCGGCUAAUUACGUGCCAGCAGCCGCGGUAAUACGUAAGGUCCGAGCGUUGUCCGGAAUCAUUGGGCGUAAAGGGUACGUAGGCGGGUAAGCAAGUUAGAAGUGAAAUCCUAUAGCUCAACUAUAGUAAGCUUUUAAAACUGCUCAUCUUGAGGUAUGGAAGGGAAGGUGAAUUCCUAGUGUAGCGGUGAAAUGCGCAGAUAUUAGGAGGAAUACCGGUGGCGAAGGCGACUUUCUGGCCAUAACCUGACGCUGAGGUACGAAAGCGUGGGUAGCAAACAGG